This 5344-nucleotide ribosomal RNA is filed under the name Triticum aestivum (bread wheat). RNAcentral's name for it is "partial small subunit ribosomal RNA". The record is from RNAcentral. Lineage: Eukaryota; Viridiplantae; Streptophyta; Magnoliopsida; Poales; Poaceae.
CGUCCCGGUUUAGCAUUUCACCUUCUUGUCUCCUCCCCCUAGUUUUAGGGAUCGCGUCGGAGUUAAGGGAAACCCGGACCGUGUAGAGUAGAGAGAGAGAGAGGGGAAGAAGAGGUGGUGGCCGGCGGCGGUGCCGGUCCGGCCGCACCAUCACGCGGAGGCGGUGGGUAGGUAGGUGCUCGUGUGGGUGGAGGUUGUGGUGUAGUGGGUAGAGGUAGGUGGUCGCGGCGUAGUGGUGGAGCGCGGUAGUAGGUGGUAGUGGUCGCGGUGGUAGUGGUGAGCGCGCAGGGUAGUCUGUGCUCCCGCGCCCGCAGACUUGGAGGGGUACUCAGGAAGAAGAAGGGUGCAGGACGACGACGAGAAGAACGUGGGCUCAACGACGAGGAAAGAGAGAAGGAAACGACGACGAGUUGGGAAGAGACAACGACGGGAGCGAAACGAAGAAGGGAAUGGAACAACGACGAGACUUGAAGAGGAAAGAGAUGACGACUUCGAAUGACGACGACGAGCAGAGGUUGACUUGGACGACAGAGAGAGAGAGAGACUUUAAGGAUAUUUGAAUUCUUCACAUGACAAGUCUUAACACAUUACAAGUCUAAAAUAUUUACGAACGUUAGACACUUACUAAGUCAAAGUACGAAUAUUUAUAACAUAGUGGAUAACACGCAAGAGUGAUCAACUUCACAAGAACAACACAUAAACAUCAGACAGCCAAUGGUAUGACAAUAUACAAACUACCAAUAUACACAAGUACAGAACAACUAAGGGAAAGCAGUAACUACAAACAGACACAAUCACAAAAUUAAGGAGUUCGGAUUAUUUUUAUGGUUUUUCUAUCAUAUUAGACUUACAUGGAAACGAACUAAAGAAAAAGGAACAGCUGCCAAAAGGCCUUGACAGAAUCUAUCAAAUACAAUAAUCAAAGAACGUUAGGAGAGAAUUUUAACACAAUGGAUCUAAAUCGACUCGUAGCAGCGGCAGCGGAUCAGGGACACCUCUUGUGCUGUGAGUGCUAAAUCCGCUUUAUAGGGUGGCGUGGAUGUUAACUAGUAAAACCGCGGCAACGGCCCCUGAUCGCAGCACGCUGGCACAAUCCGAUAUCUGAUCCAAAACGAAGACAAAGAUAAAUCACGGUAUAUAAACACUAUAUAGAGAAUGGGGAUUGGUAACAAGAUCAAUAUAAGAGAAAGAAAAGAACAAGUAAAACAUCCAACUUAACAGAAGAACCUUUACCGUAAGAUGAGUCUAGUAGUACGAAUACGCUCGUUGUGAUGUUUGUUGUGUCUUUCAUAAGUUCUUGACUAUUCAUUCUAAAGGGUAGCUAAUCUACUAAAUCGAGCCGCCGCUCUUCAUCAAAAACUCCUAUCCGGAUCGAGAAUACUAGGAAUAAGAUCUCCGGUAGGAAUACAACGAGGAUGGACGGUAUAAACACCUAAAGUCCCGGUAAGCGGGCGACUUACAGUCGCACCAAUGAGAAUGGGAUGUCUAACUAAACCGUACUCGAAGCGAGUUCUCGUAUCGAGUAUGGUUUUGUUAAUGAGUGUACCCACCGGGCUUUUGGGCUUAUACAGUAUAUCCUCGUUGUUGGGACUCUAGAGUAGUAAACGGAGAUCAAUAGGUUACGUUCCUAAAUCCUUACUUCUCCUCUCGUUGUUGAUACGUGGUGUUGUUACGAUAAGUGGAGGAUGAGUAUAUGGAGUUGUGUUCCUCUACAACGCCUACCUCAAUUUACCAGGAGGUAAACCAGUUGGUUGUUGAGGUCGUGGACAACACGUUAGAGUACACGUUCACGGGUGUGUUCUACUCAAGCUACUGUAUCUGUUCGAGUGUGAAAAUUCAGAGCUCAAGUGAACCUCACGGCUCCUACUAGGAUAAUCCUUCCAAUAUGAUCUCCUUUACUUCUUCUAGUUCUGACCUUUUCUCGAACACCUUCUUCAUUCCUUAUAACUCUUCUUGUAGUUACGACCAUCGUGAUAAAGAAGUGUCGAUCUCGACUCAUAAAGACCCUAUGGGGAACUAUGUACACUCCAGGGUUGUGGAAGUGUAAGUCAACUCGUUCUAUCGCUCUCAGAUCUCCUUCUCUAUGAAGUCUAGGUUCUUCUUUAAGAGCUUCGGUUCCGUGUUCUACUAGGUCUCGAGCUUAUGGGUUUACUUGUUCAACUUCUAAGUUACAGAUGGUGAGGGCUUCUUCAUCUUCUUCGACAACAUCAACUUCUACUUCUUGGUCUUUAAGUUAAAGGAUAGUAGUAUGUUCUCACACUGUAACGUCCAAAUAGAUUAGGAGAGUUACCGUACAGGGGUAUACUUAACAAACGAUGAUGGAACGUAACGUACUACGGUAGACAAUUUCAUCUAAACUUUUUCAUAAACGAACCUAUACUGGUAUAUAUGGGACAAUCACCGUAAUGAGUGUAAUCACUACUAGUGUUAAUGAAAGGAGCACGAUCUGGAUACGAAAUACUUUGUAUAGUAAGGGUACGAUCAGAACUCGAAUUACUAUUUAUAGUAGGAGUACAAUCACAACUGGAACGACUAAAGAUGGUAGGAUUUGUACACGAAAUAUCGAUACGAAUACAUUAACCAAUGAGCUAACUACUGAACCUCCCAUAAUAGGGAUGGCGAACGUAACAGAGAAAACACCUCACAAAAAAGUCCAACAACGAAGACGUGGUAAGUGAAGUACGACUGGUCCAAGCUCCGCUGUAAGGAACCCUGGGUCCACCUAGGACUCGUGCCUCUACUCGUCUUCGUUCCCACGUUUGUGUUUCUUCUCACUUCGACCUCGUAGGUACUCCUUCGUUUCCUCUUCUCGACGUCAACCACUCCACUAGCUCGCUCACGAUGUAGUAGUUUCGGGCCACUCUACAAAGUACGGGGUAAAACUUUAGUAGUAGGUAACUACGAACGACCUAAUUUAACGAUAAACCCAACGAACACGGUAAAGAAUUUACAACAGGGUGACUUAAAGUGGAAACUGUAUACCACGAACUACUCUUAUACGCUUGACUAACAACUUACGGAACAUUUGAUCACUAGAUGUGGGACAAACGAAACGACUUUUAUCACUUUCGAUAAUCAAAACUCACGAGUUUAGGGAUCACGUGAUCAUUUGAAUUAGUAAAAGACGAAAAUGGUACUAUGUGAGUCUAGUAAUUCACAAUUUACGACUCAAACACGGAUAACACAAGGGUAACUCUCGUUAGUGAAAUGGUGAUACAUGAACAUACGAUACAAGGGACCUAGCCAUCGUACACUUGGUCUGUACCUCUUCACUACUAAGGACAAAAACACGAAUACGCAACAAGUAAAUUCUAUUCAUUAUUACUUAUUUAUUCAGACUGAUGGAUGUCAUCGUACAGUACAAGGGACCUAGCCACCGUACACUUUAGCCCAAUCGAACCCGUCAUUAAUUAUUAUUUUUAACAUUAACAGUUUGGUCCACAUAUGGUACAAGAGACCUAGCCACCAUACAAGGAAACCCCUCUGUUUGUUUUUUUCGAUUAUUAACCAACUAGGUCCACAUAUGGUACAAGAGCCCUAGCCACCAUACAAGGAAACCACUCUGGCUAUUUUAUAAUAGUAAUGAAGGAAGUUUAAGUUAUUCACGAAGUUGGUAUUACAAUACAAGGCCCAUUACUCAAAAAAACCCUAGUACGAGAGAAAACCUUGGGAAACCGUGUUAGUCGUAAACUUGAACAACUAGGUUAAAAUAGUAACAUUUUCGAAUUUUAUUAACUCAGAUGAUCAUAGGAUAACGGAACAUCGUGAGAAUUGGUAACUAAAAGUGAUCGUUUCAAGUUUCGUACGUAACAAACCUCUAGAUGAAGUGACCCUGUAAGAGAUCAGUCAAGCGACAAGUGAUGGAACGAGAACAGUUUACGGAAAUGAACUCCUGUUCGUUUCUAAAUUCACACCCCCUUGAACUAUUCACGUAAAGGAUAAGUAUAAAACCGUGUGUUUGUGUGGUAAAUAACACUAGGUUGCUAGGUAAGAACAAUACUUGAUACUAUAUAAACUUACUUUUAGUAUAUUUUCUAGUAAAUGAGCAGUAAACUAAUAAAACGUCUUUUCACGCGUUUCCGUGAUAUUUGAAAUUCUAAGCCUGUUUAACCGACAAUUUUUCUCUCUUCCCGUCCUUUCUUCACUUCUUUCCCUGAACUCGCUCUUCUUAACUUCAUUAGUUCCCCGGUUCGAUAUCUACCGUCCUGGUUGAACCCUUCUUUCUUCUCUUUAUCGUCCCGGUUUAACAUUUCACCUUCUUGUCUCCUCCCCUAGUUUUAGGGAUCGCGUCGGAGUUAAGGGAAGCCCGGACCGUGUAGAGUAGAGAGAGGGAGAGGGGAAGAAGAGGUGGUGGCCGGCGGCGGUGCCGGUCCGGCCGCACCACCACGCGGAGGCGGUGGGUAGGUAGGUGCUCGUGUGGGUGGAGGUUGUGGUGUAGUGGGUAGAGGUAGGUGGUCGCGGCGUAGUGGUGGAGCGCGGUAGUAGGUGGUAGUGGUCGCGGUGGUAGUGGUGAGCGCGCAGGGUAGUCCGUGCUCCUGCGCCCGCAGACUUGGAGGUGCGCUCAGGAAUAAGGGUGCAGGACGACGACGAGAAGAACGCGGGCUCGACGACGAGGAAAGAGAGAAGGAAACGACGACGAGUUGGGAAGAGACAACGACGGGAGCGAAACGAAGAAGGGAAUGGAAACGACGAGACUUGAAGAGGAAAGAGAUGACGACUUCGAAUGACGACGACGAGCAGAGGUUGACUUGGACGACAGAGAGAGAGAGAGAGAGACUUUAAGGAUAUUUGAAUUCUUCACAUGACAAGUCUUAACACAUUACAAGUCUAAAAUAUUUACGAACGUCAGACACUUACUAAGUCAAAGUACGAAUAUUUAUAACAUAGUGGAUAACACGCAAGAGUGAUCAACUUCACAAGAACAACACAUAAACAUCAGACAGCCAAUGGUAUGUCAAUAUACAAACUACCAAUGUACACAAGUACAGAACAACUAAGGGAAAGCAGUAACUACAAACAGACACGAUCACAAAAUUAAGGAGUUCGGAUAAUUUUUAUGGUUUUUCUGUCAUAUUAGACUUACAUGGAAAUGAACUAAAGAAAAAGGAACAGCUGCCAAAAGGCCUUGACAGAAUCUAUCAAAUACAAUAAUCAAAGAACGUUAGGAGAGAAUUUUAACACAAUCGAUCUAAAUUGACUCGUAGCAGCAGCAGCGGAUCAGGGACUCCUCUUGUGCUGUGAGCAUCAAACCCGCAUUUUGGGGUGACAUAAAUGUUAGCUAGUGUAUAGCAGCAUCACGAAUCCGCUUCGAGACGCAGCCAUUGAAGUAGUAGUGGCAGUAGUG